AUACUUAUCUGGCAGGGGAGAUACUAUGAUCAACAAAGUGAUUUCCCAGGGCAAAACUUGCCCCUUACACUCUGGGCAUGCUAACCCCUGCAAUUUCCCCAAAUUCUGGGAAAUCAGCUGCAUAAUUUUGUGGUAAUGGGGGACUGCAUUCUAGCUUUCCCUCU
Non-coding RNA from Alligator sinensis (Chinese alligator), 164 nucleotides. Lineage: Eukaryota; Metazoa; Chordata; Crocodylia; Alligatoridae. The record is from Rfam.